GUGACAGAAGUGGCAUUUUGAUGGCUCAGGUGACAGCAGCAACUGUGGACCACACAGGACUGUCACAGCCAAGCCGCAAGUCACGGGCUGGGAGCCAGGAGGCCUGCAUCUAGUCCUACCGCCUGGGAGCUCUCCAGCGAGGAGUUUCAAAUCUGUGACGUGGGGAUGACUACAAUGUCUCACUUACUCAUGGGGAUAAGAACACAGAGGCCAGCGAUACGAAUAUAUUUUCAAAAGUCUAAAGGACAAAUUGGAGCUCUCAGUGUGAAGUGUCAGGAAGGCAGGCCUGUGGGAGGUGAUCAGGCCAGGACGAUGGAGCCCUCCUGAAUAGGGCCUUGCUGUGAGGCUGCCUUCCAGGGGUGAGCAGUACGGGCAGUGACCUGAAUGAACAAGGUUAAGGUGAGGGAGGGAGGUAAGUCCCUGUCUUAGAAGUACUGCAAUCUGUCCCCUUUUCUUCAUCCACACAGCAUUAGUUUAGGUUCUGGAUGUCCCCAUGAGUCCAAUUUUGCACCCUGCCGCCUCCAGCUAUUGGCCUCUCUGUGGCUGCAGGGUGCCAGAACCAUCCACUUGUGCUUCUCUGCAGCAGAGAGCAUGUGG
This is a non-coding RNA of Manis javanica (Malayan pangolin), 597 nucleotides long. The record is from RefSeq and is a predicted model, not a curated record. Lineage: Eukaryota; Metazoa; Chordata; Mammalia; Pholidota; Manidae.